UUGAAUAAACUUGGUUGGGUUGCUGCUGGCUCUUCAGGGAGCAGGUGCGCGCUCAAUUCAUUUUUAAACCACCUGUGCACAUACUGUAGGCCUGAAUUAACUUUUCGAGGUAACUCGGUUUGAGAACUGCUGCGAAAAGCAGCUGUUCUUGUACUUCAGGUCUAUGUUUAUAUCAUAUACUCCAUAACAAGUUAUAGAAUGUUACUUUAUAGGCCUUCUGUGCCUUUAAAAACCUAAUACAACUUUCAACAACGGAUCUCUUGGCUCUCGCAUCGAUGAAGAACGCAGCGAAAUGCGAUAAGUAAUGUGAAUUGCAGAAUUCAGUGAAUCAUCGAAUCUUUGAACGCACCUUGCGCUCCUUGGUAUUCCGAGGAGCAUGCCUGUUUGAGUGUCAUUAAAUUCUCAACCUCUCUAGCUUUUUUUAAAACAAAGGCUGGUUAGGCUUGGAUUGUGGGAGUUGCUGGCUUCUUUGCAAAUCAGCUCUUCUUAAAUGUAUUAGCGAAAUUCCUUUGUUGAACAUCUUUUGGUAUGAUAAUAUUAUCUAUAUCAUUGAGAUACAGCUUUUCCACUUUGGCGGAUCAGGCUCCGCUUGGAUUAUAUUUUCCAAGUGUUCGGUUCAACCGCUCUGAAGCACCAGCUUAGGCACAGAUGGGUUAAGCUCAUUUGAUGGUGUUGAAUACUUCAGGUUGACGAAGCGAGGCACUCUUUUUUUGGAGUGCUCACGAGAGCAAGCACUGUAAUCAUCUCUUUUGAUGUUGUGCACUGUCAUAUUCCUGUUAACCUACCCUAGCUACUAUGUGGCUUUGAUGGGUCUGGUCAAACCAUGACCUGAACAUAUCCUUAGUGGAAGGAUCUUUGCUUCUAAUAUUGUUCCUAUGAACAAAAAACCUUUUGACAAAU
RNAcentral lists this unclassified non-coding RNA (900 nucleotides) under Entoloma eminens. Its description in RNAcentral is "sequence contains ITS1, 5.8S rRNA gene and ITS2". The stretch from base 241 to 394 matches the Rfam family "5.8S ribosomal RNA". Lineage: Eukaryota; Fungi; Basidiomycota; Agaricomycetes; Agaricales; Entolomataceae. The record is from RNAcentral.